This is a long non-coding RNA of Paramisgurnus dabryanus, 981 nucleotides long. RefSeq lists it as uncharacterized. NCBI's taxonomy places the organism in Eukaryota, Metazoa, Chordata, Actinopteri, Cypriniformes, Cobitidae. The record is from RefSeq and is a predicted model, not a curated record.
UUUAAUUCCAAAGUUUACUCUUGUAAAGUCACCUGUUUGUUCAACUUUAAGAGUGCACUGAGAGAGAGGAGUAAUGAGCGGCACACUUCCUAGUAAACCCGUCUCGUGUGUGCAUUUUGCAAUUUUAUUACCACAAAUAUAUAUUUCUGCAUGAUUUCGAUAUAUUUUCUAGUCUGGCAACAUUUUAUAACGUCAUUAGUUUAGAGAAGGAUAAUAAUUUAAUAAUAAUAGUAAUUGGCCGUGUCUCAAUGCGAAGGCUGCAGCCUCCGGAGGUCGCAUUUCUCGGCUGCAUACGUCAUCAAAACUGUCUUGUUUCAGAAUAUUAACAAUUAUAAAGUUGACUGUUAUUCUAAGUUAAUAGUAAAUUGUUUAAUAUGCUUAUGACUUGCGAAUCUAAUGGUCAGUUAACUUAAAUAACCCAGGGUUGAUGACGUAUGGACCCUGCAUAUGCGAGUGCGACGACCUCCGCAGGCUGAAACCAGUCUCUCGAGCUGAAAGAAAACGCAGCUGAGGAGAUAUGAGACUGCAGACAAGAGCAAUCGACCAUCGUUCCAGGAAACUUCCACCUAAACAGAUGCUGAGGCCCAGAUUUCCCUGCCAAGCACUCCAAGGCUCAUCAUGCUCGGAGAGUCCAUUCUGGGGGCAAAAAAUGGAUGCUUUCCAUCGAGGGCAGAGUUCUCCUCCAAUUGAGUGACCGUUGUGAUUUCACUUCUGCUCUAGCCAUGUAUGAUGCAGCCACUACAUUGGAAUUUAUCCAGAGGGUAGAGUCCAGCCCAGGAAGUCAACUAGUUCAGGUCCAGUUUUAAAAGAAUAAUAGUUCUGAAAAAAAAAAACGUCUUGGAGAAAAACAAUAUUCAGGUUUGAAAUCCUGCUGUAAAUGUAAAUCAUUUAAUUUUUAUGCAUUUGUAAUUUACCAGAAACAUUUUAAUACAUAUUGAUUGUUUUGUGUGUUCAGAAAAGUGUUUUUGUAUGAAGUGUUGA